This is a ribosomal RNA of 546 nucleotides. The stretch from base 158 to 311 matches the Rfam family "5.8S ribosomal RNA".
UUUGGUGUACAUACCUUAACUGUUGCUUCGGCGGGUAGGCGUCCCCUAAAAAGGACGUCUCCCGGCCCUCUCCCGUCCGCGGGUGGGGCGCCCGCCGGAGGAUAACCAAACUCUGAUUUAACGACGUUUCUUCUGAGUGACACAAGCAAAUAAUCAAAACUUUUAACAACGGAUCUCUUGGUUCUGGCAUCGAUGAAGAACGCAGCGAAAUGCGAUAAGUAAUGUGAAUUGCAGAAUUCAGUGAAUCAUCGAAUCUUUGAACGCACAUUGCGCCCGCCAGCAUUCUGGCGGGCAUGCCUGUUCGAGCGUCAUUUCAACCCUCAAGCUCUGCUUGGUGUUGGGGCUCUACGGUUGACGUAGGCCCUUAAAGGUAGUGGCGGACCCUCUCGGAGCCUCCUUUGCGUAGUAACAUUUCGUCUCGCAUUGGGAUUCGGAGGGACUCUAGCCGUAAAACCCCCAAUUUUACUAAGGUUGACCUCGGAUCAGGUAGGAAUACCCGCUGAACUUAAGCAUAUCAAUAAGCCGGGAGGAAGGCAGUCGUUACGA